Molecule: ribosomal RNA, 191 nt
Filed under: Bifidobacterium longum
Lineage: Bacteria; Bacillati; Actinomycetota; Actinomycetes; Bifidobacteriales; Bifidobacteriaceae
Description: partial 23S ribosomal RNA
Rfam family: Bacterial large subunit ribosomal RNA
Source: RNAcentral
GUGGCACGGCCGGUUGGCUACGUUCGGAAGGGAUAACCGCUGAAAGCAUCUAAGCGGGAAGCCUGCUCCAAGAUAAGCAUUCCGUGGAACCUUCGAGUUCCUGUAGUCCCCAUGCAGAACACGUGGUUGAUAGGCCGGACGUGGAAGCCCCGCGAGGGGUGGAGCCGACCGGUACUAACGGACGAAAGGCA